AGUUCCUUACCUGCCGGGUCGGCCUCCGCAGAGAGUGGUGGUCUUGAAAACCCAGUUUUGGGAGAAUACCUGCCGCGCCUCCCGCCCAAAUACCCAGAGGUUUCAUAGCCGCCAUCGCUGCGGUGGAGGAGGCCGCCUGUUGCGUCCCACCCCACCAGAAAGCCUAACACUGGCCUGAAGCGUAAUCUUAAAGUGGUAGGGGAAAAUACCGAUCUAGCGCAGAGAGCAAAACACCUCCGUUCUGGGUUUAAUGGGCAGGUCUGGAGGUGAGGUAUGCCGUCCGCACUCAAUAAUUACUUGCAGGAUCGGAUUGUUUCUCCAGUGGGUGGGGACUGCAGGAUGUAGCAUUGAGUGAGCCUGGCAGAUUGAAAGAUAAAACAAGGGUGAUGAUAAAAACAAUUACACACUAACCCAUUUCCUCCUCCGUGAAAUGAGGGAAUGGCCCAGACAUUUUCCAGACCUCUUCUGUCCUAAGAGUGGAGCUGGGUGACAGAGCAGGUGCAAGCCGGCCUUUCCCUGCCUCCCCGGGGAACGCACUCUGUUCGGUGAGAGCAACUCAGCUCGCAUUGACUCCUUUCAGCUGCAGGAGUGUGGCCGUUCAGUUCUCAUUUGAACUGUUGACAACAGUUGUCUUCUGAGAAUCAUGAGUUAGAGCCUCCCUUUAGGCUUCUGACUCCCUCAAAAGUACCAGACAACACAAACUUUUCCCCUCUUGUUACCUUGGCUCUCUAAGCUGUAUCUACUUCUAUACAAGGCGAACAAUUUUGUCUUUUUAAAUUAAAAACAACAACAAAAGCA
RNAcentral lists this long non-coding RNA (798 nucleotides) under Homo sapiens (human). Its description in RNAcentral is "non-protein coding DOCK9-DT:5". The record is from RNAcentral. Lineage: Eukaryota; Metazoa; Chordata; Mammalia; Primates; Hominidae.